GGGCCCGCGCACCACAAGCUCAGCUACCUGGGCCGAGUGGUGCGAGAGAUCGUGGAGACAGAGCGCAUGUACGUGCAGGACCUGCGCAGCAUCGUGGAGGACUACCUCUUGAAGAUCAUUGACACACCCGGGCUGCUGAAGCCAGAACAGGUCAGCGCCCUCUUUGGGAACAUCGAAAACAUCUACGCACUGAACAGAGCCAAGAGUUUGAUAUCUACACCCAGUAUUGCAACAAUUACCCCAA
This 244-nucleotide small RNA is filed under the name Pongo abelii (Sumatran orangutan). RNAcentral describes it as "processed transcript". Lineage: Eukaryota; Metazoa; Chordata; Mammalia; Primates; Hominidae. The record is from RNAcentral.